This 254-nucleotide ribosomal RNA is filed under the name uncultured bacterium. RNAcentral describes it as "partial 16S ribosomal RNA". It matches the Rfam family "Bacterial small subunit ribosomal RNA", at positions 524 to 776 of the family's 1533-position model. The record is from RNAcentral.
UACGUAGGGAGCAAGCGUUGUCCGGAAUCAUUGGGCGUAAAGCGCGUGUAGGCGGUUACAUAAGUCUGUUGUGAAAGUCGGAGGCUCAACCUUCGAAAGCCGAUGGAUACUGUGUGACUUGAGUACGGAAGAGGAGACUGGAAUUCCUGGUGUAGCGGUGAAAUGCGCAGAUAUCAGGAGGAACACCGGUGGCGAAGGCGGGUCUCUGGGCCGAUAUUGACGCUGGAGGAGCGAAAGCGUGGGGAGCGAACAGG